ACGCGCCGCCGCUGUCCAAGCACUGUUCCCGCAGCCAGAAACCUUGGCAGCACUGUUUCGGCUUGCAGAGGGUCAUUGAUGUAAUUUCAGAUGGUUUUGAGGCCCUUAUUGUAAUUUUAAUGUAGUUGUUUUGUUUUUUUAUUUUGAAUUUGUUUUUUUGUAAAUAUGGAAGAAAAAGAAAAAAAAAGAAAAGAGAAGAAAGAGAAAAUAAUAAUAAAAAUGGGGAUGUGUGUGUUGGUGUAUGUUUAUUUACUUAUUUUGAAUUUGAAUUUGUAUUUUGUAUUUGUAUUUGUAUUGUGGAUGUAAAAGAAAAGAAAAGAGAAAAGAAAAAAGAAAAGAAAUGAAAAUAGUGAAUGUGGG
Molecule: long non-coding RNA, 360 nt
Filed under: Populus tremula
Lineage: Eukaryota; Viridiplantae; Streptophyta; Magnoliopsida; Malpighiales; Salicaceae
Description: long non-coding RNA (PTRE_LNC002988)
Source: RNAcentral